RNAcentral lists this long non-coding RNA (2657 nucleotides) under Eucalyptus grandis. RNAcentral describes it as "long non-coding RNA (EGRA_LNC000760)". The record is from RNAcentral. Lineage: Eukaryota; Viridiplantae; Streptophyta; Magnoliopsida; Myrtales; Myrtaceae.
ACAUCCUUCUCAUUUGGUCGAUUUUAUAAUGCGAUAUCCCAGGACAAGUAUCGCCGACCCUUUAGUUUAUUAAGCACAUGCGGAAGCAGUUAAAAUCCCCAGACAAUAAAACGAUGGGAUAGAAAAGCAGGGCCAUAUUUUUCAUAUUGAAAUUUACAACCAAACUUUUAUACAAAACAAAAACCACUUCAAAACUAUUCACAUCAAAAGAAAUUCUCAAAAGAAGAUAGACUUUCAGCCCAUCCAGGCCAUACUCAAGGCCCCUCUCAGGUUUAUCUUCUUCUUCCAAAAAUCCUUCUCUUUAAGUUUCACCUCCGAAUUCUCCUUCUCAGACUCCUCCUCAUCAGCUCCUCAUCGGGGUCCUGAAAUGUUUUUCCCCAAACUGGGAUGAGACUACGUCUCAGCGAGUUCUACCCCAUUAAGCCCGAUUAGUAAACCAUUAUACUACAGGCUGCCUAAACACGCACAAGGCAGAAAACGUACCUUGGCAUCAGAUCCCACCUGCAAGUCAGUACAAUUCAUAAUAGGCACCCAAGCAAUCAUAACACAGAUCGAAGCAUCAAUCAAAUCGACAUAGUCGAUUAUAUGCCAACAAGACCACUCACGGUCAUUUCCAUUCAGUCAAUCAAUUCACAACAUCAAAUCAAAGCAAUGAUCAAUCGACCUCGUCGAUUACAUGUCAGACGGACCAUUCUAGGUCAAUUCGAUUAUUCCAUCUCAAUCAUCAAUUACGAACUACGGUCCUCAGAUCACAUCUUAAGCAAAGGUGGAAGACACAGUCCACCACUCGACAACAUUCAAUAUUUAAUGGCUUUACGGUCCCACUCGACCACUUGCAAGAUUCAAUGGUUUUACGGUCCCACUCGACCACUUGCAAGAUUCAAUGGCUUUACGGUCCCACUCGACCACUUGCAAGAUUCAAUGGCUUUAUGGUCCCACUCGACCACUUUCAAGAUUCAAUGGCUUUACGGUCCCACUCGACCACUUGCAAGAUUCAAUGGCUUUACGGUCCCACUCGACCACUUUCAAAAUUUAAUGGCUUUACGGUCCCACUCGACCAAUUGCAAGAUUCAAUGGCUUUACGGUCCCACUCGACCACUUUCAAGAUUCAAUGGCUUCUCAAUGAAAUAAUUAACCACAACUAUUUAGGAAUAUAUCCUAAAUUCCACAAUUAAAUCAAUUCAGCACAAAGUAAAGCUCAAUUAAAUAAACGGACUGUGCCACGACGAUCAGCACGAGAUUUCGGUCAUCGGUCAUCUCAAUCUUAAUUUCUGAAAAAUAAAUAAAUAAUUAAUUAAUUUCGAAAAUUAAUUAUUAAAUAUUAAAAAUUCCGUUUAGCUCAAAAUAAGGCCCAAUUGAAUAAACGAACUUCACCACGGUCAUCAGCAUAAAUUUCCGGUCACUAGCCAUCCCAAUUGAAUUUUUGUAAAAUAAAUAAUUAUUUAAUUAAUUUCGAAAAUUAAUCAAUAUUAAAAAUUCAAUUUAGCUUAAAAUAAAGUCCGAUUAAAUAAACGGACUUUCCCACGGUCAUCAGCAUAAAUUUCCGGUUCCGGACCAUCUCCCUUGAAUUUUCGGAAAAUAAAUAAUUAUUUAAUUUAAUUCCGAAAAUUAAUAUUUAAAUGCCCAAAAAUCUCACUUAGGCCCGAAUCAUCAAAUUGAAGCUCAAUUAGGGGUCCGAAAAUUCCCGAGACACUCCUAAUAAAUAGUAGACCACGUCUACUUAUUGAUUGCACAAUCAAUUUAUCUAAAUCGCAUCACAAUUGACUAAUAAUUGCUAAUUAAUUCUAAUCUAACAACCUAAACAUAAUUAAUUAAAAAUAAACCAACCUAAAGCAUAAUUAGCCAACUAAUCAAAGAUUAGUGAGAUUACUCACCAAAUCGCGCGCAAAUCGAAUCAAUCCGACGGCGGCGACGCGAGGAACGAUUAUCCCCAAAGCACGGCUCGGGUUCGGGGCCGGGAAACGGCCCAAAACGGCCUUGAACAGUGCUGGAAACCCAUUUUUCCGGCUGUUGUUCAUGGCCAAACGAGGCUGUUCCGGUGGCUGAGAUGGCGGAGCAAGACCGGCGGAGGGCGAGGGGAACGUCGGGGAGGUCGGGCGGAGUUGGGCGGUGGCCGGAGGUGGCCGGACGGUGGCUGGUCGGUGCAGACAAGGGCGAAACAGGGCUAAUUCGCGGCUGGAUCGCGCAGGACGGCGGGACGACGGCGAGCGGCUGGCACUCGGGCGCGGCGCGGACGCGGGCGCGGGCUGCGGUGGGACGAGCUGCUCCGUCGAGCUGCAGCCGUGUGGCUUCUUCUUCCUCGCUUCUGGUUUUCACGAGCGAGAAACGAAGGAAAGAGGAAGCCUUCGGUCACGUGGGGGAAAAAGUGGGAGAGAAGAGAGAGGAGAGAGAGAGGGAAGAGAUAAGGGAGAGAAGAGAUAAGAGAGAGAAAAGUGAGCGGUGGGGGGAAAAAGAAAGCUGUCCGCACGUUGGGGAGGGGAGAGGAGAGAGAAGAGAGAGAAAAGAAAGAAAAAGAAAGAAAAGAAAGGAAAAGAGAGGGAGAGAGAGAAAAGAAAUAAAACAAUAGCCUUAAUUUUCUUUUCUUUUCUCUUUCCCUUUCUAUUUCUUUUCGGGCUUCAAAUUUUUCUUCCGAUAAUUUCUUUAUUGAAAUUUCGGAC